Long non-coding RNA from Hippocampus comes (tiger tail seahorse), 2069 nucleotides. RefSeq lists it as uncharacterized. The transcript has 5 exons. NCBI's taxonomy places the organism in Eukaryota, Metazoa, Chordata, Actinopteri, Syngnathiformes, Syngnathidae. The record is from RefSeq and is a predicted model, not a curated record.
UUAUCCAGAUCACGGCAAAAUGUAAAUUUAGCAUAUAAACCGCAUGUAGCAUGUUGAAAUAAUUCAAAUUCUGUCAUCCCCAAUCCAGUUUCAAUAACUUUGUGUGCACAGUCCAGGAUUUCGAUUUGCAGCCAAAUGUAAUACUGAUGAAGAGAACAUAUUUCUUAGUCGUUUAAUUGAAAUCGAAAAAACCUUUAAGGUUUAUACGGAUGCCAUCAUUCCAACCAAAUGAAUGCAGAUCUGCUUCGUGAGGAACAUGGCGGGAUGUCCUUUUUCCCGAUGUACUUGAAGGACAUUUGGAGAUGCGACAUUUACAUUCCUCUCUUACAACUCUCAGUCCCAUAUUGUAUUAACCCUUGUAACCUCCCACAAUGCUUUUUCUCCCACUCUCGUCCAUGCUUGUGGAGGUUGUCUGUCUCCUCUGAGAGGCGAGCAGCGGACAAAACAUCGCCGUGAUUGAAACUCUGUGUUUGCCGCACGCACACAUCCAUGUACCGACACAAAGAAAUUUCGGGGUGGGGCACGCGCGUCGUAAUGCUUGUCGCGGCCCGAAUCAUUAAUGCAGCCUCACAGAGCCGGCCGGGCUUGAUCCAAUGUGGAGCUCAGCACACAUGUCUUCAAUUGAAUGUACAUGUGUGUCAUCGCCUUCCACUUCGUCCUUUGCCGGGAGACAUUUGAGUCAAUAUGUUUGUUUUUGUGACAUUCAAAGUAGCGAUAAAGAAUGUUUGAUUGAAAGGUCCUAUCGACAGAUUGGAGUCCACCGGAACAAGUUGCUAUCGUUCAAGAGUUCCGCUUUUCAAACUCCGGGGAGGUUUUGUUUGUAGCUGGUGUCGCUGGGAAGAGACGGCGAAAAGGAGCGGAAGUUCAGGCGUGCAGGUCAGAAAUGGAGGAGAGGGAGGACACGAGAUGAGGGGAAACUGACCUGGAGCUGCAGCGCACGCUGGCCAGAGAUGGAGGAGAGGAUCAAGGCAGGAAGAUGACGGAAAGAGAACAAGAUGGAAGAGUGGGAGGUCGUGAAAAGAUGGGGCCUGCACUGGUGCACAAAUCCAUCGGAAGGCUGUCAUUGUUGCCCGUGUUCUUGCGUCUCCCAUGUCAGGAGGUCCCAUGUCUUGCCUGAGGCAAGAAAGCAUGAGAGAGAGGCAAGGCAGGUGGGCAGGGGGAGGCCGCCGAGAUGCCGCUACAGGAGGACCUUGUCCAUACUGUGUGACGCACCGAUGCUGUUCUAAUGGCCACAUCGCUACCCAUCUGGUGUCCAUCAUUCGGAUUCAGGGCAGGGCCCGGCCCAUCAGAUGCGUCCAGAUUAGUCCUGCUCAUCGAUUCGUGCCAGCUCGCCACGACUUAGUCAACCCAAGGGAGGACCAUAAAAGGGAAAAGCGAUGCAGCGGAGCAAGGCGAGCCAGCUAAUGUUCCCCAUGAGCUCUGACGUAAUGCGAAGUGUUUGUGUCAACUUGAAGAAUGGGAUACGGAUGCUUAGGUUAAGUAUGCUUUGAGUCCAACUGCUUUGAUCUUGAAUGAUGUACGGGUGAUUUUUGAUAUGGGACAUGAUACUUAGCGGAUUGUCAAAUAAUCACCAUCUCCUCACCGUGCACAAGAAGAACACUGAUUAUUUUCCAAUAGACUGAGCAUGACAACGUCACAUCUGUGACCUAAAGACACUGAAUCCCAUUUUCCCAUUUUUACGCAGGCUACUAGCCUUAUCUGUGCUUACGGUCUGAAGCGUGUAAUCGUAUAAAUAGGCUUACAAAACACAAUACAUGCACAACAAUUCCACUGCUUCAGCAAACAAUGACAUUUAUUAUGUGAGUUGUAAACGGAUAAAUCCUAAAGCUACCGUAUUCCACUGUAUCAAUACACUUGAUUUUUAUUACAUUACUUGAAGUACAGUAUCCCACUGCUAGUGUUGUAUGUAUCCCUGUAAUGUACACUGGAUACUUCAUUGGAUACAUCUGCGUGGUUGCGUGCGCUGUACAAUAUUUUAUGUAUGUAUUUGCUUUAUGUGACAGCCAUACCCAAUGUUGUGGCUCGUAAAUAUCCAAACGAGUGUCAUAGAGGAUACAAGAGGCAGAGAA